This 327-nucleotide unclassified non-coding RNA is filed under the name soil metagenome. RNAcentral describes it as "partial contains 5.8S ribosomal RNA, internal transcribed spacer 2, and large subunit ribosomal RNA". The stretch from base 1 to 120 matches the Rfam family "5.8S ribosomal RNA", at positions 35 to 154 of the family's 154-position model. The record is from RNAcentral.
GAUGAAGAACGUAGCGAAAUGCGAUAAGUAGUGUGAAUUGCAGAAUUCAGUGAAUCAUCGAAUCUUUGAACGCACAUUGCGCCCCUUGGUAUCCCGAGGGGCAUGCCUGUUCGAGCGUCAUUUCACCACUCAAGCCUGGCUUGGUGUUGGGCGACGUCCCCUUUGGGGACGCGCCUCGAAACGCUCGGCGGCGUGGCACCGGCUUUAAGCGUAGCAGAAUCUUUCGCUUUGGAAGUCGGGGCCCCGUCUGCCGGAAGACCUACUCGCAAGGUUGACCUCGGAUCAGGCAGGGAUACCCGCUGAACUUAAGCAUAUCAAUAACGGAGG